RNAcentral lists this ribosomal RNA (476 nucleotides) under uncultured organism. Its description in RNAcentral is "partial 16S ribosomal RNA". It matches the Rfam family "Bacterial small subunit ribosomal RNA", at positions 331 to 798 of the family's 1533-position model. The record is from RNAcentral.
GUACACUCCUACGGGAGGCAGCAGUGGGGAAUUUUGGACAAUGGGCGAAAGCCUGAUCCAGCAAUGCCGCGUGAGUGAAGAAGGCCUUCGGGUUGUAAAGCUCUUUUGUCAGGGAAGAAACGGUGAAAGCUAAUAUCUUUUGCUAAUGACGGUACCUGAAGAAUAAGCACCGGCUAACUACGUGCCAGCAGCCGCGGUAAUACGUAGGGUGCAAGCGUUAAUCGGAAUUACUGGGCGUAAAGCGUGCGCAGGCGGUUUUGUAAGUCUGAUGUGAAAUCCCCGGGCUCAACCUGGGAAUUGCAUUGGAGACUGCAAGGCUAGAAUCUGGCAGAGGGGGGUAGAAUUCCACGUGUAGCAGUGAAAUGCGUAGAUAUGUGGAGGAACACCGAUGGCGAAGGCAGCCCCCUGGGUCAAGAUUGACGCUCAUGCACGAAAGCGUGGGGAGCAAACAGGAUUAGAUACCCCAGUAGUCCCAU